UACGUAGGGUCCAAGCGUUAAUCGGAAUUACUGGGCGUAAAGCGCGUGUAGGCGGUUGUCCAAGUUGGAUGUGAAAGCCUUGAGCUUAACUCAAGAAAUGCAUUCAGGACUGGAUGGCUAGAGGACCGGAGAGGAUAGUGGAAUUCCCAGUGUAGUGGUGAAAUACGUAGAGAUUGGGAAGAACACCAGUGGCGAAGGCGGCUAUCUGGACGGUUUCUGACGCUAAGACGCGAAAGCGUGGGGAGCAAACAGG
This 253-nucleotide ribosomal RNA is filed under the name uncultured bacterium. RNAcentral's name for it is "partial 16S ribosomal RNA". It matches the Rfam family "Bacterial small subunit ribosomal RNA", at positions 524 to 776 of the family's 1533-position model. The record is from RNAcentral.